UAUAAUGGGUCAGCGACUUAUAUUCUGUAGCAAGGUUAACCGAAUAGGGGAGCCGAAGGGAAACCGAGUCUUAACUGGGCGUUAAGUUGCAGGGUAUAGACCCGAAACCCGGUGAUCUAGCCAUGGGCAGGUUGAAGGUUGGGUAACACUAACUGGAGGACCGAACCGACUAAUGUUGAAAAAUUAGCGGAUGACUUGUGGCUGGGGGUGAAAGGCCAAUCAAACCGGGAGAUAGCUGGUUCUCCCCGAAAGCUAUUUAGGUAGCGCCUCGUGAAUUCAUCUCCGGGGGUAGAGCACUGUUUCGGCAAGGGGGUCAUCCCGACUUACCAACCCGAUGCAAACUGCGAAUACCGGAGAAUGUUAUCACGGGAGACACACGGCGGGUGCUAACGUCCGUCGUGAAGAGGGAAACAACCCAGACCGCCAGCUAAGGUCCCAAAGUCAUGGUUAAGUGGGAAACGAUGUGGGAAGGCCCAGACAGCCAGGAUGUUGGCUUAGAAGCAGCCAUCAUUUAAAGAAAGCGUAAUAGCUCACUGGUCGAGUCGGCCUGCGCGGAAGAUGUAACGGGGCUAAACCAUGCACCGAAGCUGCGGCAGCGACACUGUGUGUUGUUGGGUAGGGGAGCGUUCUGUAAGCCUGUGAAGGUGUCUGUGAGGAUGCUGGAGGUAUCAGAAGUGCGAAUGCUGACAUAAGUAACGAUAAAGCGGGUGAAAAGCCCGCUCGCCGGAAGACCAAGGGUUCCUGUCCAACGUUAAUCGGGGCAGGGUGAGUCGACCCCUAAGGCGAGGCCGAAAGGCGUAGUCGAUGGGAAACAGGUUAAUAUUCCUGUACUUGGUGUUACUGCGAAGGGGGGACGGAGAAGGCUAUGUUGGCCGGGCGACGGUUGUCCCGGUUUAAGCGUGUAGGCUGGUUUUCCAGGCAAAUCCGGAAAAUCAAGGCUGAGGCGUGAUGACGAGGCACUACGGUGCUGAAGCAACAAAUGCCCUGCUUCCAGGAAAAGCCUCUAAGCAUCAGGUAACAUCAAAUCGUACCCCAAACCGACACAGGUGGUCAGGUAGAGAAUACCAAGGCGCUUGAGAGAACUCGGGUGAAGGAACUAGGCAAAAUGGUGCCGUAACUUCGGGAGAAGGCACGCUGAUAUGUAGGUGAAGUCCCUCGCGGAUGGAGCUGAAAUCAGUCGAAGAUACCAGCUGGCUGCAACUGUUUAUUAAAAACACAGCACUGUGCAAACACGAAAGUGGACGUAUACGGUGUGACGCCUGCCCGGUGCCGGAAGGUUAAUUGAUGGGGUCAGCGCAAGCGAAGCUCUUGAUCGAAGCCCCGGUAAACGGCGGCCGUAACUAUAACGGUCCUAAGGUAGCGAAAUUCCUUGUCGGGUAAGUUCCGACCUGCACGAAUGGCGUAAUGAUGGCCAGGCUGUCUCCACCCGAGACUCAGUGAAAUUGAACUCGCUGUGAAGAUGCAGUGUACCCGCGGCAAGACGGAAAGACCCCGUGAACCUUUACUAUAGCUUGACACUGAACAUUGAGCCUUGAUGUGUAGGAUAGGUGGGAGGCUUUGAAGUGUGGACGCCAGUCUGCAUGGAGCCGACCUUGAAAUACCACCCUUUAAUGUUUGAUGUUCUAACGUGGACCCGUGAUCCGGGUUGCGGACAGUGUCUGGUGGGUAGUUUGACUGGGGCGGUCUCCUCCUAAAGAGUAACGGAGGAGCACGAAGGUUGGCUAAUCCUGGUCGGACAUCAGGAGGUUAGUGCAAUGGCAUAAGCCAGCUUGACUGCGAGCGUGACGGCGCGAGCAGGUGCGAAAGCAGGUCAUAGUGAUCCGGUGGUUCUGAAUGGAAGGGCCAUCGCUCAACGGAUAAAAGGUACUCCGGGGAUAACAGGCUGAUACCGCCCAAGAGUUCAUAUCGACGGCGGUGUUUGGCACCUCGAUGUCGGCUCAUCACAUCCUGGGGCUGAAGUAGGUCCCAAGGGUAUGGCUGUUCGCCAUUUAAAGUGGUACGCGAGCUGGGUUUAGAACGUCGUGAGACAGUUCGGUCCCUAUCUGCCGUGGGCGCUGGAGAACUGAGGGGGGCUGCUCCUAGUACGAGAGGACCGGAGUGGACGCAUCACUGGUGUUCGGGUUGUCAUGCCAAUGGCACUGCCCGGUAGCUAAAUGCGGAAGAGAUAAGUGCUGAAAGCAUCUAAGCACGAAACUUGCCCCGAGAUGAGUUCUCCCUGACCCUUUAAGGGUCCUGAAGGAACGUUGAAGACGACGACGUUGAUAGGCCGGGUGUGUAAGCGCAGCGAUGCGUUGAGCUAACCGGUACUAAUGAACCGUGAGGCUUAACCUU
RNAcentral lists this ribosomal RNA (2331 nucleotides) under Escherichia coli B105. RNAcentral's name for it is "bacterial LSU rRNA". It matches the Rfam family "Bacterial large subunit ribosomal RNA", at positions 611 to 2925 of the family's 2925-position model. The record is from RNAcentral. Lineage: Bacteria; Pseudomonadati; Pseudomonadota; Gammaproteobacteria; Enterobacterales; Enterobacteriaceae.